RNAcentral lists this transfer RNA (77 nucleotides) under Mycolicibacterium fortuitum. RNAcentral's name for it is "tRNA-Arg". It matches the Rfam family "tRNA". From Rfam's summary of the family: Transfer RNA (tRNA) molecules are approximately 80 nucleotides in length. Their secondary structure includes four short double-helical elements and three loops (D, anti-codon, and T loops). The record is from RNAcentral. RNAcentral also lists the same sequence under 2 other names. Lineage: Bacteria; Bacillati; Actinomycetota; Actinomycetes; Mycobacteriales; Mycobacteriaceae.
GCCCGCGUAGCUCAAACGGAGAGAGCGCCUGCUUACGAAGCAGGAGGUUGCUGGUUCGAGUCCAGCCGCGGGUGCAA